This 237-nucleotide ribosomal RNA is filed under the name uncultured bacterium. RNAcentral's name for it is "partial 16S ribosomal RNA". It matches the Rfam family "Bacterial small subunit ribosomal RNA", at positions 112 to 334 of the family's 1533-position model. The record is from RNAcentral.
AACACGUGAGAAACUUUCCCUAGAGUCGAACAUAGCUUCGUGAAAACGGAGGUAAUAUUCGAUACGGCCUUCGGACCUCAUGGUCUGAUGGUUAAAGGUGGGGACCUUCGGGCCUACCGCUUUAGGAUGGUCUCGCGGCCUAUCAGCUUGUUGGUGAGGUAAUGGCUCACCAAGGCGUAUGACGGGUAGCCGGCCUGAGAGGGUGAUCGGCCACACUGGGACUGAGACACUGCCCAG